GAUGAACGCUGGCGGCGUGCCUAAUACAUGCAAGUCGAGCGAACGGACGAGAAGCUUGCUUCUCUGAUGUUAGCGGCGGACGGGUGAGUAACACGUGGAUAACCUACCUAUAAGACUGGGAUAACUUCGGGAAACCGGAGCUAAUACCGGAUGAUAUUUUGAACCGCAUGGUUCAAAAGUGAAAGACGGCCUUGCUGUCACUUAUAGAUGGAUCCGCGCUGCAUUAGCUAGUUGGUAAGGUAACGGCUUACCAAGGCAACGAUGCAUAGCCGACCUGAGGGGGGGAUCGCCCACCCUGGAACUGGAACACGGCCCAAACCCCAAGGGGAGGAGGCGGUGGGGAAUUUGCCGCAAGGGGGAAAAGCCUAACGGGGCAACGCCGGGGGGGGAAUGAAGGUCUUCGGUUCGAAAAACUCUGUCUUUGGGGAAAAACAAAUGGGUAAGUAACUGUGCACAUCUGGCCGGAACCUAAGCAGAAAGCCACGCCAAACUCCGG
This 496-nucleotide ribosomal RNA is filed under the name uncultured bacterium. RNAcentral describes it as "partial 16S ribosomal RNA". It matches the Rfam family "Bacterial small subunit ribosomal RNA", at positions 28 to 506 of the family's 1533-position model. The record is from RNAcentral.